Molecule: long non-coding RNA, 347 nt
Filed under: Lupinus mutabilis
Lineage: Eukaryota; Viridiplantae; Streptophyta; Magnoliopsida; Fabales; Fabaceae
Description: partial ncRNA
Source: RNAcentral
AGUCCCCCUCCACCCUCACCCGUGGUUAAGCCACCAUACUACUACAAAUCUCCCCCACCACCCUCACCCGUGGUUAAGCCUCCAUACUAUUACAAUUCUCCACCUCCACCAUCACCCUCUCCCCCUCCUCCAUACUAUUACAAAUCUCCACCUCCACCAUCACCUUCUCCUCCACCUCCUUACUACUACAAGAGCCCCCCACCACCAUCACCCUCUCCUCCUCCUCCGUACUAUUAUAAAUCUCCCCCACCGCCAUCACCCGUAGUUAAGCCUCCAUACUAUUACAAAUCUCCACCUCCACCAUCCCCUUCUCCACCACCUCCUUACUACUACAAGAGUCCCCCUCC